RNAcentral lists this long non-coding RNA (18283 nucleotides) under Setaria viridis. RNAcentral describes it as "long non-coding RNA (SVIR_LNC008248)". The record is from RNAcentral. Lineage: Eukaryota; Viridiplantae; Streptophyta; Magnoliopsida; Poales; Poaceae.
GAUGAAGUAAUGUUGUCGUCAUGGGUGAACAUAGGCCACGCUACUGAUUCCACAGUCAAAAAUCUUGAGGUGAUUAGCUGUUUGCUGCCUCUGUAUCAGUGGAGAUUGCUUCGCCACCUCCCUUGCCUCCGGGUUUUAACGAUUGAGGACUGCAGUGAUAUCUCAGAUGACUAUCGCAUCUCACAUGACGCUCACCGGAUUUUCUUUGCCAUCCCACGUCUCUCACGUCUCUCAGCUCUCACAGUCAGGCCCGGCCCUGAGGGGGUCGAGCUGUGCGGCCAAUCUGAGGACUGCAGAUCGAUAAGAUUGAUGUCCUUUGAUCCAGAGAAAGAGGCCAUACCAACUCUGGCUGAAGCUGCUCCACUCCAAAACUUCAUGAGCCGGACCCUGCGGCAUCGGUAGCUGACAUUACCCAUCGUCGUAGUGUCGCUGUGUGUACGUACCGCACACGGUGCCACCGCCGCCGCAACACGAGGGGCGUCCUCAUGAGUUGGGUGUGCCUCCAUUGGACACGCCACCCAUCCGCCCUCGCCCCAUUUUGAAGCGGUGUGCGCCAGCUAGUCUCGUCGGUGUGGUACUUUUGCGUCGCCAUUCUCGCGUGAUUCGUCGGUUCACGGCGCUGCCGGCCAGAUUAAUUAGCAGCGGGGCUUUUUUUUGGGUUGCUUGACGGGUUCAAAGGAAAGAACAACAGCCCAGCCCAGAAUGGGUAUGGGUACACCGCGAUCGGAGCCUUCAGCCCAGUGUGUUGUGGUCCGACGGUUUCUGGUGUUGGUUGGGCUGCUUCUUCAUUCUCCUCUGCGGGCCUGGUGCUUCGAGCUGUGCAUGUUUUUGUUUGCAGGGUAAAUGCAAUCGGAGAACAGCAGGAUUUGGUUGGUUGAGCUGAGAGCAUCACGUGCGAGUCUAUCUACCUACCUGGUUGCCUGCUUGUUCUUCGCCUACGAAGCCACAAGAGAUUGCCUGGUAAAUUGUUGCUGAAUUUACAUGUGGACAUAGUCACAUUCUAAAAUACUAAAACCUGUAAUUGAAUUUGUCUCUUGGCAGCCAACUGCGGCAAGGGAGGUGCAGACGCCCCUCGGCCCUGCGGCGGUCCAAUCCAUCGAUGACGCACAGCCUAUCAUGGUCCGCAACCCCCCGUGUUUCUUUGAUCCUCCUCCAUGGCAUUUCAGCUUUCGUAGUCAUACCAUAUCUAUUUGGCCUAACUCGAUCCACCAUCCAUGCUUCUCUUCUGUUUCAUCAGAUUGUCCCUAUCCUCCGAGCAGGCCUCGCUUUCGCAGAGCAAGUGACAUCCAUUCUGCCGUCCGCAAGGAUUUUUCAUCCAGGUCAGCAAGAUUUUUUCUGUUCUUUAUUUUUUUUUGCCAAUGCCAAAUCAUCCAUUGUAGUAUCCAAGUAGCUAGUCAAAUUUCGUGUAUGAUCCUGCAUGUGUUUUGCUUAGACCUCAGAGCAUCCUUCAAAACCGCCACGAUCAGCAGAUGCAGUCGUGCAGAGUUGCAGACACAGUAAUGCUAAAUCCAAAGUUCUGGUCUUUUUCAGUCGUCAAAAAUUUACAUUAAGAUGUACCUUACUUAUUUCGAUCUCCUCUUUACAAGCAAAUAAAGUUCAUACGUUUUCAUCUUCCUGUAUCAUUAUUUACUAAUGGAGUAGUAUCUUGUUGACUCAUCCUAUUUUUUUUAGGGAAGACUCAUCUUGUUUUAAUUUAUAUUAAUGAAGGGAUGAGCAGGAAUGAGGAAACGCUGCUGCCAGCAAUUUACCUGAACAAGUAGGUGACUACCAAAAUGCUUUAAUUUCCAUGCAACACUACUUGUAACAUCUGUCCCUGAAAAAUCAAGUUUUGAUGCUCAACUGUUGUAGGAGUCAUUCAUUUAUGCCUUUUGUUUCCCCUUACAUGGACGCAGGCUGCCUGCCAAAUUCCCAGGUGGAUGCCACAUCUUCCUCAUGGAUCCAAUGCUUGCAACCGGUAUAGUUUUUUAUCUUCCUUAUCGCAGCAUUGCACAAUGCUAGAACUUUUCUCUCUUGUUACGUUAAUAAUAGUUCAUUUUUACCUUAUUCCUACAUCCAUAGAGAUUAACUUCAGAAAAAAAGAAUUGCAAAUUUCUAUUUCUUAUGCUAUUAGUAUAUAUCAGCUCUGGUGGAUACUAGCAAUGAGAUCAGAGUGCUAUUGUCUUGUGACAAUGGUAGAGUUGGUGACCUCCUCUGAAUGAUAUCUCACCUGUACAUCAGGUGGAACAAUGGCGGCAGCAAUCAACCUGAUCGAGGAUCAUGGAGCUAACAUCGAGCAGAUAGCAGUUGUGAGUUCAUUCAUUCAACCAACUAGUAAAUCCUUCCCUUUGCCAAAUGUAUAGGAGUAUCAGAAUACGACAUAAGCCAUCCUUGCCAUUUCAGAUAUCCGCAAUCACUUGCCCUCCUGCCAUCGAAAACCUCAGGCAAUUAUUCCCAGUUCCCAGGGUACGUUACCAAUACAAAAACACCAGUACUACAUCCCAACAUUGCUUACUGGCACUGCUUCCAGUAUUGCCUCAAAUUAAGCUAACCUUGGAGCUACUAUUUUUUUUCUCAGGAUUCACGUGUAUGUCGCUGCAGGUUGAUCAUGUCCUGAAUGAGAAAGGGUAGCUUCGAGAUAUCGCACAGAUAUAUUCGUAUAUGGAACUAAAUUCUAAUCAAAUGCUGACUCGCAGAUUUAUGUCUUUGGGUGUUGAUGCUUCAGGUCCAUGAUCCCAGGCCUUGGAGAUGCUGGAGACCGAAGCUAUGGGACCUAGCUAAUGAUCUAGAGCUCGAGAGAUGCAGCUGGGCCUGGGCGCCUGGCUGGCUUAUUCAGAAUUGAAGCAGAGCAAGAAUGUAGCCAUGGGGGUAGCCUGAGAAGGGCAUCUGCUCGUUGUAAAAGGCACCAGCUUGACUUUGUGGCAUGGCACCGCAAAUGAUAUGAGAUGCUCACAGUGGGAGAAUUUAAAUAAAUUGUUGCUAUCAUAUGCAAAAAGCAAAAAUUAGGUCCCAUUUGGUAGGCUUCUCAAAGUGCUUCUCCAACAGCUUUUGGUGAAGCCCUACCAAAGGGCCAAUUUCAAAACGGCUUCACCACCAAAGCCAGGGAGAAGCCGCAAAACGGCUUACACUAGAGAGAAGAAGCCGAAAAAAGUGGCUUCACCGGCUUCUCUCUCUCCAAGCAUUAAGUGAUCAUAAAAUUACAUAUAUUGCCAUUGAGAAGCCAUUUUACUAAACGUUUUGCAAAAUGGCUUCAGCUUCACUAAAAAAGCACUCUACCGAAGGAGCCGAAGCCGAAGCCAUUUUAUGAGAAGUCGAGACCUUAGUAUCCUGCUAUGUAUAUCAGACUAUCAAUACAGUCGUCAGUUGAAUGAAGGUGAUAAGAAAAGUAGCCGCGAGAUAAAGUUGCGUACGAGUGUGCAAUGAUUGGCCGUGCCUUUUUCGUGUUAGGCGCUUAAAGGAAGUAGGCCCUUGUUUACUUUGCGAAUUUGGGAGGUGCCAAAUUACUGUAGCAACACUGUAGCAUUUCGUUUGUAUAUGUGAAUUAUUGUCCAAAUAUUGACUAAUUAGGCUCAAAAGAUUCGUCUCGCAAAGUACAAUAAAACUGUGCAAUUAGUUUUUGAUUUCGUCUACAUUUAGUACUUCAUGCAUGUACCGCAAGUUUGAUGUGAUGGGGAAUCUUCUUUUUGCAUAGUGCCAAAGUUGGGAGUUUGGUAGGAAGUGAACAAGGGCUAGAAAUUGUCCAGAUGAGGAUCUUGGAACUGAAAAUCUAAAGGGAAAAAUAAACCGACGCGAAAAAAAAAGAAAUGGAGAAACGACAAAAAUCUCAUGGGAGAUUGAAGGAUGGUGCUCCCUGUUUGCUUGGCGGAGAACAAAGCUCCUCAUGGCACACACCAAAACCGAGCAUUGGCGUUGCUCGGCAUCUUGCCUGAACACAACCUUGACGCAGUUCGCGGCUGCCCCCCUGUUGCCGUAGCUGGAGGGUAGCGAUGGCAGGAGGACGAGACGGACAAGAACAUGGAGGCGGCGACCUGCGGGUGCGGACUGGUCGAGGAGGCUGGGCUCGAGGCGAUGAGGUCACUCGCGAGCGUCGGCAACCAGCAGACCGGUGACGGGAAGGACGGCGCGGGGACGUGAGGAUGCGACCCAUCCCCGAGCCACGCUGGCCGCGGACGCGCCCCGGCACGCCACACGCGGAUCCGGUGGCCGCGGCAGCAUCCCGGCCUCCCGCCUACGCCAGGGCCGCUGCCCCGCGCCGCUUUGCCGCAGCCGCACCCUGGCCCCACCCGCCCCGCACGUCGUCCGCCGCCGUCGCGCGCGAGGACGUGCUGCGCCACGGCCUGGAGGCAGCCUUGCGCUGAAUCCGUGCCGCCGGCGUCAGCCCAGCCCGACGCGGCGCUGGAUCUGGGCCUCGUGGGGAUGAGAGAGAGGGGAGAAGAGGAGAGAUGGAGGAGGAGCUACCGGUGGCGGGCGACCAGCGGGGCGGCGGGACGAGGCGAUCGGGCCCGGCGUGGGUGUGGGCGCGAGCUGCCCUGACUCGGCGCGGCAAACGGGACGGCAAGGGAAGGCGGCCUGCACAGGGGCAGGCACGGGGGGCAAGCGGCAUGCGGCACACCCGCGGCGACCGCCGCCUCACCCCGCACAGCGCCCGCUGCAGCGGCCGUGGCGAUGUAUCCGGUGGAGAUUCUUUCGCAGUGGAGAAGAAACGGAAGAGCUCGAGAGGCUAUAAGGAUGUAUGGAAAUUCGAAUUAUUCGUAUUCCUGUCUAAAAUGUUAAUAUGGAUAUCCGUAAAUACGUAUUUGAUUUUAAUAUGAAUCGUAUCUGUCUAAAAUGUUAAUAUGGAUAUCCGUAAAUACGUAUUCAAUUUUAAUAUGAAUGUCAAAUGGAUAUAUCCGAAUUCGAUUUCAAUAUUUUUCUCUAUCCGAUUAAAGAUUCGUAUUCGAUAAAAAUGUGAAAUAUCCAACACUAUCCGUAUCCGCGAAGAGUAAAGUACCCCCAUGAAAUCAUCUAAAACUUAUUUCUAUGACUAAUUACUGAUGAUAAAUGAUGUUAACUUUAAUAUUACUAAUAAAGUAAUUGUGUACACCAUUUCAAGUAUUAAAAGGUUAUCUAUUUGACAAAUGACUAAUUAUGUUAGUCUAAUAUUACUAGUGAUAUAUAGUGAAUAAUGAUAAUGUUUAGCUAAUUUUAAUGUGGCUAAUCAUAUUAAUUUUAAAUACAUUAUCCUAUUUUAUUUCAUGAAUAAAUUAUAUUUAUAUGUAUUACUGUAGUUAUUUUCUUAUUAAAUAAUUUAUAUAUUUAUGGAAUUAUUUAUUUAAAUGAUAUUCAUUUGAUAUAUAUUUAAUAAUUGAAAUAUUUAUUAAUAAAUAUAUUAUUUUUAAUAAGCUAUCUAUUGUGUGCUAUCCUCAUAAUUUUAUAAAACCAUCGAAAAAACAAAUUGAUACUCGAUAUGACGCUAUGUUCCAACUUCCAAGUUGAGUAAGUAUCCGAAUGUGAAUUUAGAUUCGAACUAUUCGUUUUGUAUUCGUAUAUGAUAUGAUUCAUAUCCAAAUUCAAAUUAAAAUAUGGUAAAUAGUGCUAUCCGAAUUCGAUUCCAUGCGUAUUCGAUCCGAAUCCGUCCCUACUUCCAGUGCGAUGAGGACACGUAGAUCUAGGACCUCGGGUUUGAUUUCCUAGAAACACGAGGGCUUAAACAAAAAAUAUCCGCGCCCGCUGCUGGGUAGCUAGCCGUCGGAUCGCGAUCGGACGGCGGGAAUUGUUUUUACUGGUGUGGCCAGCCUGCCUGCGCGCCGACGGCACCACGAAUCAUAAGGAGAGAUUAUGCUUGUAUUGGAUUCGUCAAACUCAUGCAUAUGUGCUGUAUAGUUAAAAGACUCAAGGUCUGCAACAACAUUGUUUUGUGCUCUCAUGCUCUCAAUGGUAAAUACUCAAAAGGGUCAUGGAAUCUACAAUGACCUUGUUUCGAUAUCCUCAUGGUCAAAGUCUGAUCUGGACGUGAGAACCAAGCAAAAGCGUUAAUGUUUAGGGAAGGUGUGGUUGUAAGCUUGCCCCCUACGGACUACAAUACAAGUUUCGCACUCUAUGCUUGUCCUAAAGAAUUUAUUAUUUUCUGUUAGUAGUAGGCAGCAAGCUCAUUGAUAUUGAGGUGCCAAUGGCUUCAUCGAUGGAUGUGUACUCUUAGGCCUUCUUCAACAAUACUAUAUAAGUUAGCUCAUAGAAAUCCACCUUAUCAUUUUGCUUCCAUGGAAGAGAGAGAAUGUGAGGAGAGAAAGUGUGUCAUCUCUUCUUCAAGAGAUAGCUCAUAGAAAGAAUUGGACUUCAUGUUUUAUUAAUGUGAAAGAGAUUGUGGGAUCUCAUAUGUUUUGAACAAUGUGCUAUAAGAUAGAUCAUUGGAGAAGUAAUAUCUUUGCUAUCUUGAGGUGGAUAUGUUUAGAGCUUGUGCAUUAACUCAACCAUUGGAGAAGGUCUUAUACGAGCAUGCAUAUGCAGAGAGAUGAAAUAAUUUUAAUCCGGGUGCAUGAUGGUUCAAGUUGGAAGUUGGGGCAGGCCAAGCUAUUAUCGAUCAUUAACAAGAUUCUCUCCAAAAAGGCGGCACAGAUCUCUAUAAGUGUAUUAGCUCUUGUUAGGACAUGUACAACGGUAUAGAAGAUCACUGCCUGCGAAUAUUUACCACGUCACACACAGACAAUAAAAGAUAGUUUACACAGGACCUGUUCGCUCCAGCUUAUAAGCCGGCUGAAAAGCUGAAACGGCUGAUUUGUUAUGAGAGGAAAACACUGUUUGGUGGCUGAUAAGCCGACUGAAUAAGCUGAAGCGAACAGGCCGACAGUAAUUUGUGGUCUGUAAACUAUUUAAUUCAUGCAUAGAUCCAUAAAUCAUGAUGAUCAAGUAGAAUCAUGAUCUUUGUAUACCAUAUUGUUGCUUAUUUGACGAAAUACAUUGUGUAUACCAUUGAGAGAGUACACCUUAUUCAGAAGGGCUGCAACGUAACUUUUUGUUUUUAUUUAUGCCCUUUUUCCUUACUACAAGAACUCCCCGUGAUUUCUAACUCUACUAACGCUUAUUUUGUAAAAUGGCAAAGAUAUUUUGUCGAACUUCCUCAUCUCUCCCGUUGACUACUCGUAUCGAAACUCUCUCUCUCUCUCUCCUCGAUCUCUCGAUCUGGCGAUGCUGCCAGCGGCGAGGCACUCCGGCAGGUUCCAGCGGAUCGUCAUGGGCGGCACGGUGUCCGGCAGCCAGCGCGGCUCGGCUUGAGCAGCGUAGCGCGGUGGCGGCAGCGUCCGGCGUGGCUUGGGCAUCGGGAGGCGCGGCGGGCCGGCGGGCUGGUGGCGCGGAGCAAGCGGCCAGCGCCCACGACGAGCACGCAGCGGUAGGCUACUCCGCCUUUGCUGAUUUUCCCCGCCAAAAGAAGCAUAGCCGCAGUAGAUCACAGAUCAGGCAGCGCUGUUGCCGGGACGAGAGGAUGCAUAUUGCUUCUCGGAGCAGGAGCGCCUGCAUGCGGCAUGCCGUCGUCUCACCAGACGACGAUUCCCUUCUCCCUCUUCAUUAAUCAGUGUUCAUGUUGAUUUGCUUAUGUAGAGCUAUAAAGAUGGCAUCAUCUCUGGGUUGUACAUGGAUUCACGCACACUAGUUUACUUUUUUAUGGCAGGGUAGUAAUAUCAAAGACGGAAGUGAGAGAGAAGGAAGAGGAGUUACCGUUGUUUUCUCUGAUUGGUGGGCCCGUCAUGGCUCGCUAGGACGCGCUCGCGUGCAAACUUGUUCACUGCACACGAUCUGUCACCAGUGCUGCUUCUCGUUUCAGGUACGACCUUAAUCUUGCGCCUAUUGUACCCCUACUCACUCUUGGGGGGGGGGGGGGGGUGCUUACUGGUAAUAAGCUUCUCUUCAUCUGAUCCGUAUGUGGUAACAUGUUGAUAGAAUGCUAUUCUUCUGUUUUCCCAGCAGAUCAGCAUAUCUCUCCUCAUUUGCUCAUUAAUUUGUACCAGCACAAAAGAACAAGCUACAGGGCACAAGUAUGGAAGAACCAGUGGAGCUAACGUUUCAGGAUUUACGAGAAAUUACAGAUGAUUUCUCGGAGGAGCGGAUAGUUGGGGCAGGAGGAUUUGGAAUAGUUUACAAGGUAUGGUCUGGGCCUGCUUGUGAAUAAAUCUGAUCUGAGACAUUGAGACAGCAUACCUUUCUGCCUCACUAGAUAUUGCUAUGCAAAGUGGGCGACAUACAUACUUACUGCUAAACUUUUUGCCGCACCUUAUCAAAUGUGGUAAUACUAUGCAAUAACAAGCAAAACAAAGCCAGGACGAUUGUUAUAUUUUUCUGCUUAUCAAAUAUAAUUUAAAAAUCAGUAUGUAUAAAUAUGCUGAACUUACAUUAUUGAGUGGAUAUCACGUUUCUCUUACAGGGAGUGACUAAACAUGGAGUGGAUGUUGCUGUAAAGAUACUUCGUCGUGGCAGUAAUCCAGAUCUUGACUUCAAGCAGUUUCAAAACGAGUUUUAUAACCUCAUGAAGGUCAAGCAUGAAAAUAUUGUACAAUUUCUUGGUUAUUGCUAUGAUAUAGAGACAACACGUAGCGAAUGCAAUGGAAUAAUAGUGCGUAUUGAGGAGAUACAUGGGGCACUCUGCUUUGAGUAUAUGCACAAUGGGAGCCUUAAAAAUCAUCUUUCUGGUAUGCUUCUUCUCCAUUUUCAUUGACAUGGAAAGAAAUGUUCCUGCAUGUUUCCAUUCAGUUGAUUGACAAUCCUUCUGUUUGCUACUGCAGAUGAGUCUUCCAGACUUGACUGGCAUACACGGUACAAAAUUAUUAAAGGAACAUGUGAAGGUUUAAGAUAUAUUCAUCAGACAGAAUCUCUUCUACACCUAGACCUAAAACCUGACAACAUAUUACUAGAUCAGGACAUGGUGCCAAAGAUUGCGGACUUUGGUUUAUCCAAGAUCUUUGGUGAUGAUCUAACAAGGACAACAAAAAGUCCUUUAGGAACACCGUAAGUCGAGUGCAUCAUGUGAAUACAUCUUUUUCUAAUCACAGAAUUGUUCAUGUAUUACAAUUGAAUUCUUCGCAUGUGAUGCAUUGCAGUGGAUUCCAGCCACCAGAAUUCAUCGACAAAGGAGAAAUCUCAGAAAAGUUCGACAUAUUCAGCUUGGGUGUCAUAAUAAUAAAGAUAGUGUCAGGACCAGAAGGCUACCCCAAAUGCCAAUACAUGCCUUCGGAAGAAUUUAUUGAUCAGGUGAGAAAUGACGUUUCUUUCGAAUAAGAUCAAAAUUUUAAUAAGAUGAUAUGUCAUAUUCAAAUUUGGAUUGUGCUAGAGCCCAUCUUGACAGCCCAAUUUCUCAGGUCAAAGGAAACUGGAGGAAGAGAUGGCAGACAAGCAGUAUCGAUUCCUUACUUGAAUCAGCAUGGUGCCGCCAAGUAGAGACAUGCACUAAAAUAGCAUUAUUGAACUGCUUGGAGAAAGAUAGCCAAAAAAGGCCUCAUAUUGUCAAGAUCAUCAAUAUGUUAAAUGAGACAGAAACUAAUAAUUAUGAGGUAAUCAAUACCAUAGCUUUCUUUUAUGUGAGAAUUUUGUUGUAAAGGCAUAUAGUGAAAUAUAUAAACUAAUUUAUACGUGAAAACUGACAAAUUGUAGCGGUAUAUUAUUUUUAUGACUACAAUUUGUUUUGCCAUGGCAAAUGUUUUAGUGGGCAAUAUUUUGAAAGUUGGUUGCAAUGUGAAAAUAUCAGCACCAUGACUUAAUAGUUUGUUCUAAUAAUUUUUUAUUUACCUAUUGAGACAUUUUCCAGCCAAUACUGCAUUAAAAAGGGGUAUAUAAAAACUAAUAUAAUUUAAAUAUUACACAAACAGUACCUUAAAUUUGAUAGGAAUGCAACUAAUUGAAUAUAAGAAUUUAAAGUGUCCAAAAUUUAUCCUUAAAUACAAGUAUUCUUGAAAUUGAACAUGCAUAACCCCACAAGUAAUUAUCAAUUGACUUUUGUUGUAACUUGUGAAAUAUGAUUAAUUUUGUUGUAACUUGUGCAAUGUGAUUUGAAGGGAGUACAAGUUUAGGCUACUUCCAAUGGGUUUGUAUAAUGGGUAUUAAGCGUGUGCCACAUAAGCCCCUCUGUUGAUGUGACUAGUAAUUAAACAAGAGAAAAAUAGAACAAAUAAAAAAUGAUGUAGUAGUUUUCACCAGAUCACUGUUCGAAACCAAUGGACAAUCCAUACAAUAGUUAAUCGAUUUCUUAACAACACCAUGAUAUCGCACAUUGCAAAGGCUGUGCCAUUCUUUCUUCAUACAACAUGGCAUUGUUGGAGAGCGUGAUAUGAUACAAUGGAUUGAGUAGCCUUGUAAAAGAACUUUCCUAUGCAUUUUACAUGCAUGUUGUGUUCUAAUAAAAAACAGACGUGCACUAAUAAAUAAAAAAUAUAUGGAUAUGCAAUGUAAAUGUUGUGUUCAUAACAUGGUUCAUUUAUGCAUUAACUAAAUAUAUGAAAAAUAAAUAAUACUAAUGCACAAAAAAUCAGCCAAUAUUAUAUUAUCACUCACACACACAUACAUGUAAGAAUCCAUAUGCACCGCUCUCUUUUAGCAAAUGCAAUUUCAAGGCAUCUUGCUCAUCUAUUUAUGAACCGGUGAUGAAAACUCAUCACCACAUGUUUGAUUUAAACAGGCGGUGAAAGGGAGUAUGAAAAAAUGAUUUCGAUUGGGAAAAGGUAUAUUUUUCAUCCCUCAAGUAUUGUAAAAGUGUGGCAUUCAUCCCUCAUAUUUUAUUUAUGCAAAUCAACAUGUGCAUUUAUCAUCCCCACCUUAGUUUAAAAUUGGUUUAGUGUUAUAUAACACCGGUUUAGGCCAUGUAAUCAUCUUACUAACUACUGCUUAGCCACAUCUAAUGUUGAGUCAAUCGCUAUAAUAGUUGUCGAACCAGUUUCGUUAAUUUUUCUGUUACAAUUAUGGGAUAGACAAUUUAGAGGAUUUAUUUUUUGGGGGGCAUUUAUAUCUUCGACUCAACAUAUUACAUUACUAAGCAGGGAUUACUUGGACGAUUAUGUGGCAUAAACCACACGCCAUUAGAUAUCACUAAACCAUUGUUAAACUAAGGUGUGGAUGAUAAAUGCAUGGUUUAAUUAGUUAAGGGGUUGAUUUGCACCAAAUGGAGCAUGAGGGGUGAAUGUCUCACUUUUCCAAUACUUGAGGGAUGAAAAAUACACUUUUUCCUUUCUAUAGUAAUGAUAUUUUUUCGAUAAAUUAUAAAGUCAGUUACGCAUGGCUCGCAACGCCUUGGGAGAUACUAGAGCAGGCCCCGUGCGUGGAACCAUGACGGGUCGUCGACUGAAGGUGGAAGCAGACCUCUCAGCCAGCGGCCGUACACACGAGUAUGCAUGGCAACGCACUUCCUGCUGGCACCUGCUAGCUGUCUUCUUGGUUGUCCUGUGACUGCCCUUUGUUAUCGUUGCUCCGGCCCUUGCAAGGAAGGCCAGCCAUGUAUGUGUCUGACCAGUGACCAAGUGUUGCCGCUUGGGCAAACCAUUCAUCGUCCUUGGCUGCCGGGUUCCAUAGUUCCAUCCCAGUUCUGUGUAGUAGGUGCAGGGGUUGAGACUUGAGAGGACGUUUUGGUCACUCAUUACAUGUGCAAACUGAGCAGUUUUCAUUUUCCGUUUGGAAAAGCAUGUAUUAAUAUUCUCGCACGGUUUGUGAGAGCAAUAGUAGACGUCGAUUGGUUAUUUGCAGUUACUUGUGGUUACACUGAUGUAAAUCAUCAGUGUUUGGAAAAAAUAUGAGCAGUUAUGCUGCUAUCAGACUGAUUAUUUUGCAUUGUUGUCGAUGUGACUAUAUAACAGGUCUUCGUUUGUUGUCAACAUUACAGGAGAGACAGAUUUUUCAGCCUCCCGAGAAUGGACACAAAACUGUGUGCGGGACGACAAGGCAUAAUAAGAUGGAGCUGAUAGAGGAACAUAAAGUGAUCACUGAUGUUGGGGAAGAUCUAAUUGUAGGCAGGGGCGAAGAGGAAAAUAAAAUAGUGGCUUCUUUACUUGAGAGCAUCAAGUCAGCGAAGAUCGUCAUCCUUCCUAUAUAUGGUAUUGGAGGAAUUGGCAAGACAACCUUUGCGAAACUAAUUUACAAUCAUACAAAUUUCAAAUAUUACUCUCACGUCUGGGUCUAUGUGUCCCAGAGAUUUGACUUAAAGGAAAUUGGUAAAUCUAUAGAUUCACAGCUAUCUGGGGAGGAGAACCAAGCUAAUGAGCAGCUAAUAAGUAAGGAAAUUCUGAUUGUCUUAGAUGAUUUUUGGGAGGAUAAUCCAAUUAAAAUAGAGGAGUUGAAGGAUAUGCUAUAUCGUGGUGAUAGCAUUAAAACAGUCAUUGUUUUAGUAACUACACGGAGUGCAGACAUUGCCCAGAAAAUUUGCAGAAACAUUGAACCAUAUCAGAUAGAGUCCUUGACAGAUGAAAUGUGCUGGGAUAUAAUUAAAGAGAAAAGUGGUUUGAAGGGUGUACAUGGCAAAGAAAAUGAAAAUUUGGUGGAUAUAGGAAAAAAGAUUGCCCAGAAGUGUGGAGGUGUGGCCUUAGCAGCUCAAACUCUUGGAUUCAUGUUGCGGUCCAUCAAACACGAUGAAUGGAUCACAGUGAAAAACAGUGAUAUCUGGAAUGAAACUAUUUCAGAGGAUACCUCUUUGCCGCAACAUGUUCUUGCAUCCUUGAAAUUAAGUUAUGCUUUCAGUAUGGAUGACUUCUUGAAGAAAUGUUUUACCUAUUGUGCAAUCUUCCCAAAGGGUCACCGGAUAGUUAAAUAUGAUCUAAUCUACCAAUGGAUUUCUCUAGGUUUCAUUAUGCCUACGAAAAUAUUGUCCACCUUGCAGCUCUGUGAGAAGUAUAUUGUGCGCCUGCUGGGACUGACUUUCCUUCAACAUUCAACAUCAGCAAAGGUGAGUUAUCUAUGGCUACUAUUACAGGCUUUUUCAUGUUAUCUCCUUGUAACAAUUGAUAUGUAACUUAUGUAAUACGCAUUUUAACAAUAGAGUAGGCCAACAUGAACUAACAACGUAGCAGGAGUUCAGAUUGGCAAAACAAAAUGUGAACAGCAUUUGUUUCCGAUAAAUACUCCCCCUUAUUACAGUACGCUUAAACCACAGCGAAGCUUUUACAUAUGCAUCUUUUAGCCAUUUCCUGCUCUUCGAAGUCAGUGCUGGAAGAGGAAAAUACGUGGAAUCACUUUGUUUUGAAUUGAGAAUUCAAUGUGAAAGCACUGUAUAUGUGAUCCUUUUAUUUUAAACAUUGUGGAUGAACCACGUGGCACACUACUACAAAGACCAUCAUCUGUGCCCGCGCUUAACCAUCAUUCGUACCAGUUUCUAGAGCCUGCACUACAAGAAUGGCAUGGAUGAGGAUCUUUGUCCAUGCCAAGUAAAAAGGUGGAACGGAUAGUUAUUGAUACCGGACCCUUAUAAGGAGCUAGCACGGAUACUCAAUAUAUCAUCGUCCUUGUUUUAGCGCUGGUAGGAAUAUGAUUAUAUUGCUUCGGUUGUUUUUUAGGGACCGGUAAGAAUAUUAGCAUAUCCUUACUGGUGCUGAUCUACGAGACGACAAUAUUAUUGUUGGUUGGUCCAAAAAAAUACAAAUUUUAGAUUCUUUCAUAUUAUCAAACACUAAAUAUUAGUACCUGUUUGGUUCUUCAACAUCCACAGCACGAAAUUUAAACUAACAUCAAAUUAACUAUAACAACAUAUGUGCACGGCCAGCCUCAAGAAGCUGAGAUUAGGCCUCACUGGUGACAAGCUUCUUGACGCGGUGGAAUAUCUCAUUAUCUCAUACUCGUUCCACCACACCCAGGAGUGGCCAUGGAACCUGGCCGUGUCCUCAGGCAAAGGAAGCUUGACAUAGAAGACAUGGCCAUGAUCAUCAUCGGGCACUAUCUUGCAAUUGUAGUUCCCCAUCACCUGAGCAACGCAGACGCUUGAGGUGAUGAAGGGCUCGAAGUGGUUCCUUGUCAUGUAGGCGAUUACGAUGAGAUUUUGACCUCCAUCCCACACCCGAAGCUACUGGAGCACGCGGCGAGAGACAAUCAUCUCCUCAACUGGUGCCAUCGCCGCCAUUCUCUGCCUCUCCUGCAGCAUUGGAUCAUCAUAAGGUCAAUAAUAAAAUCAGAAAAACAUGGAGCAGAUGAUCGGCAUAAGAACAAGCUGAUAAUAGGCAACACCUAUGGCGAUGAUUGAUGAUGCUGCAGAUGAACAAACUAGUAGUGCAAGUGCCAAGAUUAAGGCUGGAUGAGUACACAGCAGUAGCUAUAUAUGCGGCAACAAACUUGCAGUGCAAGAUGAAAGCCUUCAACCUUCCGGGUUCAUGAAUUCACACUGCACACGCUCCGAGAGAAGCUGAUGAGUUAUUCCUCUUUGUCCACUAACACUCGUAUCGGUCAAAAUUCACACCACUACAUUAAAUAACUAUUCUAAUCGGUUUAAUUCUAAGCCGGCUAGAAUAUACAAAUAUAUGUGCUGGUGCUAAAUUCCACCGGCAUGUUUGUGUAAUAAAAAGAAAAAAAGUAAAGCAAAUAGAAUACGUGCAAAUUAAUUAUUUACAUAAAUUGCAACCAGUUCAUUACAAAUAAGUACAUAUAUAAAAUUUAAUUAAAUACAACUGAUCAAUACAUCUGCCUAGGAUGUCCGGCUAACUCAUGGUCACUGUCAUGGAUUCGGAGUUUCUUCAUCCGCGUGAAAGCAACGAACUCCUUGUAGAAACACCAGGCGUGACCAUGCAGUUUGUUGACGUCCGUAGAAAAUGGAAGUAAGGUGAUGUAGGUGUCGGCGAUGGCUGCUCCCCCAUUGUCAUCGUCCUUUGUGAUCUUCCAGUCCUUGUAUGUGCCCAGGCACGUGCUGAUGCACAUGCUUGCGGUGACCAAAGGAUCGAAGUGAUGCUUCAACACGUUGGCAACCACGACGUGAUCCUGAUCACCAUCCCAGAGGUACGUCAAAAUGCUACAGGACGCGGCGGGAGAUGAACAUCUCCGCGAUAGGCUGGUGGCGGUAUCCUUUGGCGCGCCAUUGCUUUGAUCUUCUUGAAAGAGGGGUAAGUAGAAAUGCAGAGAUGGAGAGAGAGACUUUUGGAGUGUGAGUAGAUCGUGCAGGUACUUGGAGUGGUUGGGCCUUUAAAUAUACAGGGUGGAAGGAUAUGAAGGGCUUGAAUUUCUUGAUUUCACACGCCAUCGUCAAAGAGACCACAGUGGUUCAACUCUUCUCUCUCAACUUCACACCCCGCCAUCAAAAGAUACCUCUUCAACUCCUCUCUCGACUAUCGCGCGUGUAACCAUUCAAAUUCGUCCCAAUCGGUCAAAAUUCAAACCGCUAUAUUAAAUAACUAUUCUAAUCGGUUGAUUUUCAAACCGGCUAAAAUAUUGAAAUAUAUCUGUCGGUGCGUAUUGGCAUUGGUGCGUUUAAGUAAACUGCCGGCAUGAAACAACACCGGCAAGUUUAUAUCUUUAUUUGUGUCGGUUCUUGUUUGCGCCGGUGCGAAUAGACUAAAUGCUAUACAUUUUAAGUAGUGUUGAGGAACCUUACACUAUGUACUUUUGAUGCAGACUUAUGGAACGUAUGGUGAACAUGACACCUUCUUCACUAUGCACGACCUGGUGCAUGACUUGGCAGUUUCAGUCCUUGGUGACAGAAUUCUAUAUCAGAGCAAACAAGGCAACGAUGGGGGGAGCAUCUGCCGCUAUGCAUUGCUCCAUGACAGUAGCAAGCCACUAGAGUCAUGGACGACUUUUCCUGACAGGCUAUGGGCACUGCAUUUUCUGAACUGUCAGUGGAUCGAUGUACAUGGUGCUGCAUUUGAACUUGGUGAGUCCUUGCGAGUGUUGGAUUUAAGCGAGUGCUCGAUACAGAAGUUGCCAGAUUCUAUUGGUCUACUGAAGAGGUUGAGGUAUCUUAAUGCUCCAAGGAUCCGGGAACAGAUGCUUCCAGAAUGCAUCACUAAGCUCUCGAAGUUGAUGUAUCUCAGUCUUCGCGGAUCUUGUUACAUCCUAGAACUACCAGAGUCGAUUGGGGAAAUGGAAGGUCUGGUGCAUCUUGAUUUAUCAGGUUGCUUGGGAAUAAAAACACUGCCAGCAUCAUUUGGUAAUCUUACAAGUUUGGAGCAUGUGGAUUUUGCAAAUUGCAAAAAUGUCACAGGAGUAUCAAAAUGCCUGGCUAGCUUUACAAAACUGCAACAUUUGAACUUAUCAAACUGUGAAAGUAUUGGAGACUUACCAAGAGCAUUUGGCAGCCUCACAGAAUUGCAAUACUUGAACUUAUCAGACAGCUCAUACCUUUCUGGAAGAAAACUUACUAUGCCAGAGUACCUGGGCUCACUCACCAAACUCAAAUAUCUAAACCUGUCUUCAAGUAAUAUCUAUGUAAACCUGUCCCCAGGCAAUCAACAGCAUCAGCUCGCCUGAAGCUUUUGGUAGCCUCACUGAACUCAAGUAUUUGAACUUGUCACAUCACCGUUUUAUGGGAAAAUUGCUACCAUCGUUUGGGAAUCUUUGUAACUUGGUGCAUCUUGACUUAUCAUACUGUUAUCCUGUUCGAGGUCUUCCAGGAGCUUUGAAUGGGCUUACCAAGCUCCAAUAUUUGGAUUUAUACAAGUGCUCCGGUUUUGAUGCCAUGGAAUGGCUACAAGACGCUUUUGGUAAUCUCAGUGAACUUCAACAUUUAAAUUUAGGCUGCUGCAUCGGAAAAGUAUCUUAUCAUCCAGACAAAAUAAAUGCUCUCCUGGGGUGGAUCUGUAAUCUUACCAAUCUAGAGUACCUGAGUCUUCGUGAGAAUGAUACCAUUUAUAGCAUACCUGAAACUCUUGCUAACCUGAGGAAGUUACAUACACUGGACCUUUCGUUUUGCAGUAGCCUGCAGAGGCUGCCGGCAAGUAUAUCUGAAAUUGAAAGCUUGAGGUUUCUAUAUACUAUGGAAUGUUGGAAGUUGGAUAGGUCCACCCUGCCUAGUCAAUGCACGAGCAGCUCAAGAAUUCCACCGCAUUUUGUGGCCCAUACUGGUGAUGGUGAAUCUAGCAGCUAUGUUUUUCAGUACGAGGAUGGAAAUCCUGCUUGGCUAAAGAUAAGUAGGCUUGAAAAUGUGAAGUCGGCAGGAGAGGCACGUACAAUAAAGCCCUUAGAGAAGACACAUAUUACACAAUUAGCAUUAGAAUGGACUAGAGAUGCAAAGAGAUUAGUGGAAGACGCAGAAGUUCUGAGGGAACUAGAGCCACCGCGCAGGAUUUCAAUGUUCCGCCUACAUGGUUAUAAUAGCGUCAGCUUUCCAUCCUGGGUGAUGCACUUUGGUGCUUAUUUACCUCAUCUGACAUUUUUUGAGAUGCGGGACUUGCCCAAUUGCAACAGCCUACCACCACUUGGUCAGUUACCAAACCUCGAGGAUCUGGACAUCGGAGGAAUGGACAGCAUUAAGGAGAUUGGCGCGGACCUGUACGGGGGACCAAGAGCAUUUCCUCGACUCGAGCACUUUCGCAUACAUGGUAUGAAAUGGCUGGAAGUGUGGAACACGGUCAACUCCGUGUUCCCCUGCCUCAGUUACGUAUCGAUUAUUGAUUGCCCAAGAUUGAGGUUCAAAGGACGCCCGCCACGAAGUAUGCACGACAACUUGGAGUUGUCUAUACGCCGUAGUGAUGAAGUAAUGUUGUCGUCAUGGGUGAACAUAGGCCACGCUACUGAUUCCACAGUCAAAAAUCUUAAGGUGAUUAGCUGUUUGCUGCCUCUAUAUCAGUGGAGAUUGCUUCGCCACCUCCCUUGCCUCCAGGUUUUAAUGAUUGAGAACUGCAGUGUGAUCUCACAUGACGCUCACCGGAUUUUCUUUGCCAUCCCACCUCUCUCACGUCUCUCAGCUCUCACAGUCAGGCCCGGCCCUGAGGGGUUCGAGCUGUGCGGCCAAUCUGAGGACUGCAGAUCGAUAAGAUUGAUGUCCUUUGUGCCAGAGAACCUGUUCAAAAUUUCAGGUGGAGCCAGCUCUACGUGACUUUGGGCCAGUUCCAUAUGAGUUGGGGUGUCCUUCAGUUCAAGAAAAGGGCCAGUUCUAUAUGAGUUGGAGCUGUCUGAUUGGCUGGGAUGGUGUCCUCAGUUCCAGAAAAGAAAAGUUUAGAGUAGAUUGUCAUUCUUGCCCUUGGUUCGAAAAUACAUUGUUCUUUGAUAAAAUAAAUGACUUGAACUAAUUCUCACAAAUACGAAAUGAAAGUACAUGCAGUGAAGUCCAAAAUAAUAAUAAAUUACAUGUCAUUUGCUUAGAACUAAAAUUACAAAGUAAGUUCAUAGUUAUAAAAUAAGGUCGUUACAAUAAUCAUCGCGCUAGUUCCAUAUCGUUACGAGGAGG